CCUACGGGUGUCAGCAGUGGGGAAUUUUGGACAAUGGGCUCAAGCCUGAUCCAGCUAUUCCGCGUGUGUGAAGACGGCCUUCUGGUUAUAAACCACUUUUGUAGCGAACGAACAGUCUAUUGAUCAUACCGCUAGACGCUGACGGUCCUCUCAGAAUCAGCACCGGCUAACUACGUUCCAGCAGCCGCGGUAAUCCGUAGGGUGCGAGCGUUAAUCGGAAUUACUGGGCGUAAAGGGUGUGCAGGCGGUUUUGCAAGAUGGAUGUGAAAGCCCCGGGCUUAACCUGGGAAAGCCAUACAUGACUGCAAGACUAGAGUGCGUCAGAGGGGGGUGGAAUUCCAAGUGUAGCAGUGAAAUGCGUAGAUAUUUGGAAGAAGACCGAUGGCGAAGGCAGCCCCCUGGGACGCAACUGACGCUCAUACACGAAAGCGUGGGGAGCAAACAGGAUUAGAUACCCCUGUAGUC
This 465-nucleotide ribosomal RNA is filed under the name uncultured bacterium. RNAcentral's name for it is "partial 16S ribosomal RNA". It matches the Rfam family "Bacterial small subunit ribosomal RNA", at positions 338 to 795 of the family's 1533-position model. The record is from RNAcentral.